ACGGGCACUAUUUCUGUGGCGUCGCGUGUUCAGUUCACCGCGGGUAAUUCAGAGAAUCGCUUUGUGGAUUGGAUUUUUGCCUGUUUUCCGCCCGAUACAAAAAAAAAAAACCAAACGCUAUAUAAAUAGUUCUGUAGUAAAACCUGAAGCAACACGUUUUAAAAUAUACAACUACUACUAACAACUGUCACAGCCAAGUUACAAAAGUGCUAAAUCCCAGAAAUAACCUAAGAGCCGACUUAAAACCGCGCAAAUACAUAAAAAAAAAUCUUCUCCAAAGCAGAAACAAAAACUUGUGAAAAACUAGAAUUAAAAAAAGAUUUUUUAAAAAAAAUCAGCUAGUGCAAAAUAAACGGGAAGAAUUUUUUUUUGUGUCCCUUUUUUUGGUGUUUUUUCUCCGUCUUUCCCCUUCUUUGACGCAAAAAAAAAAGUGCCCAACUUGCUGGCGGCACGGGAACGGGAUAGAAAUAGAUAUAGCCGAAAGCGACUGGAAAGCAAAGGAAGCUAACUAAAUUGGAUUACAAUCAAUUAAAUAGAGACGGAUACGGAAACUAUGUUCAGCGAGACAGGCAUAUAACUCAGGAACUUAAGAUAUAUAGAAAGAAAAAAAAACCCAGACAACAUAAUCGCAAUGGCCCUUUACCGCUCUGAUCCGUAUUCCAUAAUGGACGACCAACUUUUUUCAAAUAUUUCAAUAUUCGAUAUGGAUAAUGAUCUGUACGAUAUGGACAAACUCCUUUCGUCGUCCACCAUUCAGAGUGAUCUCGAGAAGAUCGAGGACAUGGAAAGUGUAUUUCAAGACUAUGACUUAGAGGAGGAUAUGAAGCCAGAGAUCCGCAACAUCGACUGCAUGUGGCCGGCGAUGUCCAGCUGUUUGACCAGCGGUAACGGUAAUGGAAUAGAGAGCGGAAACAGUGCAGCCUCGUCGUACAGCGAAACCGGUGCCGUAUCCCUGGCGAUGGUUUCCGGCUCUACGAAUCUCUACAGCGCGUAUCAACGAUCGCAGACGACAGAUAACACCCAGUCAAAUCAACAGCAUGUCGUCAACAGUGCCGAGAACAUGCCGGUGAUCAUCAAGAAGGAGCUCGCAGAUCUGGACUACACGGUCUGUCAGAAGCGCCUCCGUUUGAGCGGCGGUGACAAGAAGUCACAGAUCCAGGACGAGGUCCAUUUAAUACCGCCCGGCGGAAGUUUGCUCCGCAAGCGGAACAACCAGGACAUUAUCCGCAAAUCGGGCGAAUUGAGCGGCAGCGAUAGCAUAAAAUACCAGAGACCAGACACACCUCACAGUCUUACCGACGAGGUGGCCGCCUCAGAGUUUAGACAUAACGUCGACUUGCGUGCCUGCGUGAUGGGCAGCAAUAAUAUCUCGCUGACCGGCAAUGAUAGCGAUGUCAACUACAUUAAGCAAAUCAGCAGGGAGCUUCAGAAUACCGGCAAGGAUCCGUUGCCGGUGCGUUACAUCCCGCCGAUCAACGAUGUCCUCGAUGUGCUCAACCAGCAUUCCAAUUCGACGGGUGGCCAACAGCAGUUGAACCAACAGCAACUGGACGAGCAACAACAGGCCAUCGAUAUAGCCACUGGACGCAACACAGUGGAUUCUCCGCCGACGACCGGCUCUGAUAGUGACUCCGAUGACGGUGAACCCCUCAACUUUGACCUGCGCCAUCAUCGCACUAGCAAAAGCGGCAGCAAUGCCAGCAUCACCACCAACAACAACAACAGCAACAACAAAAACAACAAAUUGAAGAACAACAGCAACGGCAUGCUGCACAUGAUGCACAUCACCGAUCACAGCUACACGCGCUGCAACGAUAUGGUGGACGAUGGUCCCAAUUUGGAGACCCCCUCAGAUUCCGGAGCUAGUGGAUUUGUAUGAACAUCGCAAUGAUGAAUGAAUGAUGUGAGUGAUUGGUGUACCCUUGGCUGAUUAUGCAAGUGGCUCGUAAAGCAGGAGUAACGGCAAAGUGUUUUAUAUGGCGAGUAAAGCGAAGUGAUGUCGAAUAAACUAGGAAUAAACUAAGC
Molecule: non-coding RNA, 2025 nt
Organism: Drosophila melanogaster (fruit fly)
Lineage: Eukaryota; Metazoa; Arthropoda; Insecta; Diptera; Drosophilidae
Source: Ensembl